RNAcentral lists this transfer RNA (66 nucleotides) under Abscondita terminalis. RNAcentral's name for it is "tRNA-Asp". RNAcentral also lists the same sequence under 1 other name. The record is from RNAcentral. Lineage: Eukaryota; Metazoa; Arthropoda; Insecta; Coleoptera; Lampyridae.
AAAAAUUUAGUUAAUAAAUAACAUUAACUUGUCAAGUUAAAAUAAUUAAAAAUUUAAUAAUUUUUA